This 463-nucleotide ribosomal RNA is filed under the name uncultured bacterium. Its description in RNAcentral is "bacterial SSU rRNA". It matches the Rfam family "Bacterial small subunit ribosomal RNA", at positions 36 to 518 of the family's 1533-position model. The record is from RNAcentral.
CUGGCGGCGUGCCUAACACAUGCAAGUCGAGCGAGGAGAUCCUCGGGAUGAUCUAGCGGCGGACGGGUGAGUAACACGUGGGCAACCUGCCUCAUAGAGAGGAAUAGCCUUCCGAAAGGGAGAUUAAUACCUCAUAACAUUGCAGUUUCGCAUGGAACAGCAAUUAAAGGAGUAAUCCGCUAUGAGAUGGGCCCGCGGCGCAUUAGCUAGUUGGUGAGGUAAUGGCUCACCAAGGCGACGAUGCGUAGCCGACCUGAGAGGGUGAUCGGCCACAUUGGGACUGAGACACGGCCCAGACUCCUACGGGAGGCAGCAGUGGGGAAUAUUGCACAAUGGGGGAAACCCUGAUGCAAGCAACGCCGCGUGAGUGAUGACGGCCUUCGGGUUGUAAAGCUCUGUCUUCAGGGACGAUAAUGACGGUACCUGAGGAGGAAGCCACGGCUAACUACGUGCCAGCAGCCGC